Molecule: ribosomal RNA, 253 nt
Filed under: uncultured bacterium
Lineage: Bacteria
Description: partial 16S ribosomal RNA
Rfam family: Bacterial small subunit ribosomal RNA
Source: RNAcentral
UACAGAGGGGGCAAGCGUUAUUCGGAAUUAUUGGGCGUAAAGGGCGCGUAGGCGGCUUGGCAAGUGGAAGGUGAAAUCCCUCGGCUCAACCGGGGAACUGCGUCCGAUACUGGAUGGCUUGAGUUCGGGAGAGGGAUGCGGAAUUCCAGGUGUAGCGGUGAAAUGCGUAGAUAUCUGGAGGAACACCGGUGGCGAAGGCGGCAUCCUGGACCGACACUGACGCUGAGGAGCGAAAGCCAGGGGAGCAAACGGG